Molecule: ribosomal RNA, 253 nt
Filed under: uncultured prokaryote
Description: partial 16S ribosomal RNA
Rfam family: Bacterial small subunit ribosomal RNA
Source: RNAcentral
ACAGAGGUGCCGAGCGUUAGGCGGAAUCACUGGGCUUAAAGCGUGUGUAGGCGGGCGGGCAAGUACCUUGUGAAAUCCCACGGCUCAACCGUGGAACGGCUGGGUAUACUGCCUGUCUUGAGCCAACUAGGGGCGAGCGGAACAGACGGUGGAGCGGUGAAAUGCGUAGAUAUCGUCUGGAACGCCAAAGGUGAAAACAGCUCGCUGGGGUUGUGCUGACGCUGAGACACGAAAGCCAGGGGAGCAAACGGGA